Molecule: long non-coding RNA, 2169 nt
Filed under: Pomacea canaliculata
Lineage: Eukaryota; Metazoa; Mollusca; Gastropoda; Architaenioglossa; Ampullariidae
Description: uncharacterized LOC112555587, transcript variant X2
Source: RNAcentral
AGACAGACAGCAGUCCACCUAUACAGUCCAUGGAAGGAUCUUACAGAAUGGGACAAACGGUAAAUUUGUACAGCGCUUGAACACACAAACACACACACACCCCAACACACACACACGCUGUUUCAUUUAUAAGAUUUCAUAGUACCUAGGAACAUCAAGUGUGGGUGAGCCGUGGGUGUGAACUGAAAGUCAGCAGCAACCCUCAAGUUCCUCUUGUCUGUGGGAACCACUCCAUUCGCACAGAGCUGCGCAGGUGACCUGCCCUCACUCGCCGGCGGUGGGGGGAGUGGAGAGGACGGGCGAUGUGUGUGACGAUGGUGAGACUGUGGGCAAACACACCAAGAAGGCGUGGUGUGAGUCACGUGACACGAUCGUGCGCGCUGCGGCUUGAUGCGCACGAAUACUUUGUUCACACGCGCUUCGGGACUUUUCACUAACACCAAUCCCUUUCUUUAUCAAUGAAACUGCGCAGCACUGUUUCCAUCCGGCCGAAGGACGACCGACAGAGAGCGAGCACACACCCGGCUCUCGUUUCAUUGUCGGCCCGGCAGCCACCCACACACUGGAGGUAUGCGCAGCAUGUCUCACCUCGCUACGUGUAGCCUUGAGGAUGGGGGCAGGAGCUCGGCAACCUAUUCCUUGCUGACCUUUGGCCUUCGACCAGUUUGUGGACACGUGACAGCUGUAAGUGGUCAAGAUUGUGACCUGCGACAGUUCUCGCUGUGACACGUAGUUGACUUAUUGUCUUUCUCUCUCUCGUUCACAGAGCGUGUUUCUCAGCAUGUGUGCCUGUGUGUUCGGACGUGCUCGUUUGAAGGUUUGAGAGGUCAGCCAGCACUGCCUUGUAGAGUGGUUCACCUGUCAGUGGCAGUGUCCGGAGCUACCAAGCGCAGCCUUGUAGGCAAAAUUCUCCACCACACCUCCAACACGCAGAGGCGCACGCACCAUAUUUAUUCAUCCUCACAUACGAACGAACAAGCAAACGAAAUAAAGAAAUAAUGGCAGAGUUACACAGGUGUUUGACUGGCUAGAAACAUGUCAUUAUAGGGCAGGUGUGGAAGGAGAGGAGUUGACAAUCACAACUUGCCUCAUUGAUGGAAACUGAUCGUCAUUUUAAUGUUGGACUGUCAGUCUUUCUUUAAUGGACUCCUUUGAAAGCUAAUCCAUUGUUAGUUCAACUCCACAAACCUGUGCGCAGUAAAUUUUAGUAACAGGUGACCUUUUUUUAGCUGAGGGUGGAAACCUAAUCCUCCUGACAUCUUGAAGACAGCUAACGUUUCACCACGAAUAUACAAUUAUAUACUAGGUAUCACCCACGAAAUGCGAAACCAUUGUAAGCCAAACGAUAAUUGAUGAAAAGAGAGAAAACGACACUAAAAUUUUAGGCCGUCUACAGAGAUCAAGACUAAAAUUAACAAAUUGAUGUAAUUGAUUUUAAGCGAUAUAAUUGUCCACCUGAGAAACUGACCCAUGAUGACAAAAGGAUUUAUUAUCACAUCUUCCUGCUUGAGUAUUCCCCCAGACGAGGGUUAGAAUGUCCUGACAGUGGUUGCUGUUAAUCCAUCACCUCCACACACAUGCACGGACUCACACACGCACACACGCACGCAUCCACACACACACACACCGUAUCACCGAAGAAACAACUGGGACGUUCCCGAGUGAUUAGUUUCAGUAGACUAAUAGUCUCGGAACUGCCCUCUUGAAGCUGCGACCUUCCACUUCCGGAGCGGCGCAGACACUCGGAAGCCGAGGCUUGACUGGAGUUCGGAUAAGCCCGGCAACGACCGAGUGUUGCCGAAUGAUGGGCGCACGCGAGUGACCCACGAGAUGGCGCCGCCAGUGCUGAACCACGACCCUGUAGUGGCUGUUUGUUGUUAUCACACGUCGGGUUUCCUCUCUGCUCUUCCUGUUCCAGCUGCUACGACAGGCCAUGAUUGUUGUGUCUGCCUGCGACAACGACAGAGGCAUUGUGGGACAAAACAUCGUCCAUGGCAACAAGCAUUACUUGAUGAAGUUAAGAGCAAAUUGUCACCGAAAAUCCUUUUCUGUUAUUUGUUCAAGUCAGAGAAAGGAGGAAAGAAAAGUGGGGAAAUAUAAACGCCCUGUGGUGAAAGAUACUCUCAGUUAAAAGAAGACAAAUAAGGAAUAAACAAAUUUUUUACUUGG